This is a long non-coding RNA of Anopheles gambiae (African malaria mosquito), 653 nucleotides long. RefSeq lists it as uncharacterized. The transcript is spliced from 2 exons. NCBI's taxonomy places the organism in Eukaryota, Metazoa, Arthropoda, Insecta, Diptera, Culicidae. The record is from RefSeq and is a predicted model, not a curated record.
CCUACACGCUGCAUUCAUGUAUGCGGCUACAAAUGACAGCUACACAUUUUCUUCUGUUCUAUUUGUCAAAUGUAGCUACACGAUGUAGCUAUCGUUUGGGACCUUUUCAAUCCGUGUAUGUUCAGCUGUCAUAUUGUGGUUGUCAAACAUAGUUGGUUGUGUUUAUAUUAUGCGGAGAUCACUCCGGUUGUGUUUUUGCCGUGAUACACAAAGUUUCUUUUUUUUACAGUGGAAAAAUGGAAAUAAAUCAACUUCUUCCAACUUUAGCGGCUGAAGUGGCUACUCUCAUGUUGAUACUCAUAGAAGAGGAAGACGAAGAACUGCAGCAAGAGGAAAAUGCACGGCGCUGCUGGAUGACCGAUCUAUUUCUGGAGAGGGAAAGCGUUUGGACCCGGCUGUUUAGGGCGAUAGAUGGUGAAGGACCAAACAACCGGCUAGAAAAUUUUUUAAAUCGGAUUGGUCCAAAAAUUGAGCGACAAGAUACAACGAUGCGACCUUCGAUCUGCCCGAAGCAACGAUUAUGCAUCGGGCUUCGCUUUUUAGCUUCGGGAGACUCAUAUGAAUCUCUUGCUUUUUUGUUUAGGGUUUCUAGCAGUUCCGUAUCCCGUAUUGUGCGUGAUGUUUGUACAUACAUAAUAAAUGAAUUGAAGGAA